GCCGGGUGUUGUGGUGUGCACCUGUAAUCCCAGCUACUCAGGAGGCUGAGGCAGGAGGAUCGCUUGAACCCAGGAGGCAGAGGUUGCAGUGAGCCAAGAUCGCGCCACUGCACUCUAGCCUGGGCGACAGAGCAAGAGUCUGUCUCAA
RNAcentral lists this small RNA (148 nucleotides) under Pongo abelii (Sumatran orangutan). RNAcentral describes it as "Metazoan signal recognition particle RNA (ENSPPYG00000034566.1)". The record is from Rfam by way of RNAcentral. Lineage: Eukaryota; Metazoa; Chordata; Mammalia; Primates; Hominidae.